Molecule: ribosomal RNA, 474 nt
Filed under: uncultured organism
Description: partial 16S ribosomal RNA
Rfam family: Bacterial small subunit ribosomal RNA
Source: RNAcentral
CACUCCUACGGGAGGCAGCAGUGGGGAAUUUUGGACAAUGGGCGAAAGCCUGAUCCAGCCAUGCCGCGUGCAGGAUGAAGGCCUUCGGGUUGUAAACUGCUUUUGUACGGAACGAAACGGCCUUUUCUAAUAAAGAGGGCUAAUGACGGUACCGUAAGAAUAAGCACCGGCUAACUACGUGCCAGCAGCCGCGGUAAUACGUAGGGUGCAAGCGUUAAUCGGAAUUACUGGGCGUAAAGCGUGCGCAGGCGGUUAUGUAAGACAGUUGUGAAAUCCCCGGGCUCAACCUGGGAACUGCAUCUGUGACUGCAUAGCUAGAGUACGGUAGAGGGGGAUGGAAUUCCGCGUGUAGCAGUGAAAUGCGUAGAUAUGCGGAGGAACACCGAUGGCGAAGGCAAUCCCCUGGACCUGUACUGACGCUCAUGCACGAAAGCGUGGGGAGCAAACAGGAUUAGAUACCCCAGUAGUCCCAUG